ACAUACCUUGAGGAAUAUGCAUGUAGUGAUGCUCUCCAGGGAUGGCCAGUACUUGACAGUAUGUUGCUUGUGGAUGACUUAAAUCAAACAAAAACUCAUCCAUAAUUUAAAGGGUUUAUUUUACAAUGCAUUACAGUAAUCCUGAAGUAACAAAGAACCAAAGUGUUGCAACACUGUCUUGAAUAGGCUCUGCUUUCUGUUGAGCAGAACUGAUGCUCAGCACAGGAAAAUGCUGACCUACAAUUCCUGCGGUAGCAUGGAAGCAGUUCCUGAGGAUUGAUCCAUGUCCUCAGGUUUAAGCUGUCUACAGAGGCCCCCUUAGAGCACUCAGGGAAAACUAAGCAGUUCCAUAACAGGAUUCAUCUUAUCCCAAGGAAGGUAGCUGAAGUAGGUCAGAUGAAUAACCUUGGCAAAGUGACUACAGCUCUCCUUUUAACUGCAGAGGUGGCAAAAGCUCAGCAAAGGUGUGGACAUCUACUGGACUGUCGUCUA
Pezoporus flaviventris is the source of this 492-nucleotide long non-coding RNA. RefSeq lists it as uncharacterized. The transcript has 3 exons. NCBI's taxonomy places the organism in Eukaryota, Metazoa, Chordata, Aves, Psittaciformes, Psittacidae. The record is from RefSeq and is a predicted model, not a curated record.